ACUUUCCUAGUAUAGUUUAGUACGGCUGACUUCCAAUCACCUAGCCUCAGUCAAACCUGAGGGAAAGUA
Molecule: transfer RNA, 69 nt
Filed under: Hadrosciurus igniventris (North Amazonan red squirrel)
Lineage: Eukaryota; Metazoa; Chordata; Mammalia; Rodentia; Sciuridae
Description: tRNA-Gly
Source: RNAcentral